This 17-nucleotide ribosomal RNA is filed under the name Heterobasidion araucariae. RNAcentral describes it as "partial 28S ribosomal RNA". Lineage: Eukaryota; Fungi; Basidiomycota; Agaricomycetes; Russulales; Bondarzewiaceae. The record is from RNAcentral.
ACAACUUUAUCGAAACU